This 503-nucleotide ribosomal RNA is filed under the name uncultured bacterium. Its description in RNAcentral is "partial 16S ribosomal RNA". It matches the Rfam family "Bacterial small subunit ribosomal RNA", at positions 30 to 523 of the family's 1533-position model. The record is from RNAcentral.
AUUGAACGCUGGCGGCAGGCUUAACACAUGCAAGUCGAGCGGGGUGAUGGUGCUUGCACUAUCACUUAGCGGCGGACGGGUGAGUAAUGCUUAGGAAUCUGCCUAUUAGUGGGGGACAACAUCUCGAAAGGGAUGCUAAUACCGCAUACGUCCUACGGGAGAAAGCAGGGGAUCACUUGUGACCUUGCGCUAAUAGAUGGGCCUAAGUCGGAUUAGCUAGUUGGUGGGGUAAGGGCCUACCAAGGCGACGAUCUGUAGCGGGUCUGAGAGGAUGAUCCGCCACACUGGGAUUGAGACACGGCCCAGACUCCUACGGGAGGCAGCAGUGGGGAAUAUUGGACGAUGGGGGGAACCCUGAUCCAGCCAUGCCGCGUGUGUGAAGAAGGCCUUAUGGUUGUAAAGCACUUUAAGCGAGGAGGAGGCUCUUUUGGUUAAUACCCAAGAUGAGUGGACGUUACUCGCAGAAUAAGCACCGGCUAACUCUGUGCCAGCCGCCGCAGUAA